Molecule: ribosomal RNA, 654 nt
Filed under: Bacillus cereus
Lineage: Bacteria; Bacillati; Bacillota; Bacilli; Caryophanales; Bacillaceae
Description: bacterial SSU rRNA
Rfam family: Bacterial small subunit ribosomal RNA
Source: RNAcentral
UAACUGCAGUCGAGCGGAUGGAUUAAGAGCUUGCUCUUAUGAAGUUAGCGGCGGACGGGUGAGUAACACGUGGGUAACCUGCCCAUAAGACUGGGAUAACUCCGGGAAACCGGGGCUAAUACCGGAUAACAUUUUGCACCGCAUGGUGCGAAAUUCAAAGGCGGCUUCGGCUGUCACUUAUGGAUGGACCCGCGUCGCAUUAGCUAGUUGGUGAGGUAACGGCUCACCAAGGCAACGAUGCGUAGCCGACCUGAGAGGGUGAUCGGCCACACUGGGACUGAGACACGGCCCAGACUCCUACGGGAGGCAGCAGUAGGGAAUCUUCCGCAAUGGACGAAAGUCUGACGGAGCAACGCCGCGUGAGUGAUGAAGGCUUUCGGGUCGUAAAACUCUGUUGUUAGGGAAGAACAAGUGCUAGUUGAAUAAGCUGGCACCUUGACGGUACCUAACCAGAAAGCCACGGCUAACUACGUGCCAGCAGCCGCGGUAAUACGUAGGUGGCAAGCGUUAUCCGGAAUUAUUGGGCGUAAAGCGCGCGCAGGUGGUUUCUUAAGUCUGAUGUGAAAGCCCACGGCUCAACCGUGGAGGGUCAUUGGAAACUGGGAGACUUGAGUGCAGAAGAGGAAAGUGGAAUUCCAUGUGUAGCGGUGAAAU